This 468-nucleotide ribosomal RNA is filed under the name uncultured bacterium. Its description in RNAcentral is "partial 16S ribosomal RNA". It matches the Rfam family "Bacterial small subunit ribosomal RNA", at positions 28 to 507 of the family's 1533-position model. The record is from RNAcentral.
GACGAACGCUGGCGGCGUGCUUAACACAUGCAAGUCGAACGGAAAGGCCCUGCUUUUGUGGGGUGCUCGAGUGGCGAACGGGUGAGUGACACGUGAGUAACCUGCCCUUGUCUUUGGGAUAACUUCAGGAAACUGGGGCUAAUACCGGAUAGGAGCUCCUGCUGCAUGGUGGGGGGUGGAACGUUUCGGCGGUUGGGGAUGGACUCGCGGCUUAUCAGCUUGUUGGUGGGGUAGUGGCUUACCAAGGGUUUGACGGGUAGCCGGCCUGGGAGGGUGAACGGCCACAUGGGGACUGAGGUAGGGACCAGACUCCUACGGGAGGCAGCAGUGGCGAAUAUUGCACAAUGGGCGGAAGCCUGAUGCAGAAACGCUGCGUGCGGGAUGACGGCCUUCGGGUUGUAAACCGCUUUAGCCUGUGACGAAGCGUGAGUGACGGUAAUGGGUAAAGAAGCACCGGCUAACUACGUG